This is a long non-coding RNA of Drosophila montana, 483 nucleotides long. RefSeq lists it as uncharacterized. The transcript is spliced from 3 exons. The record is from RefSeq and is a predicted model, not a curated record. NCBI's taxonomy places the organism in Eukaryota, Metazoa, Arthropoda, Insecta, Diptera, Drosophilidae.
AAUUAAUUAUUAAUACAAAAUAAGGUCACUAACUAUAAGUAUGAAGUUCUAACGAUCCUUUAUAUGUUAAUGUUUAUAUUUUUAUAUCAUUUUAGUAUCCUGCCUGUCUCUCUUAAGGCUAUCAUCAUAUAACUUUUCACGGGACAUCUUGCUAAUCGGAUAGUUCCUCUAUAUCAUGUAGCUGCCAUAUUAUAAUGAUUGGUCUACAAAUGACCGCACCCAAGCAACGAAAACUAUAUCCAAACAACCUGUGGAUUACUUGAGUCAAGCUCACAUAGUUCGGAUUGUAUUCAACGAGUCAUCGACUAAACUUUUAAUCUGCAUCAGCUCUCUUUUAACCAAACACGAGCAGAUGUUCAAAUUUACGAUUGGACACUUGGCUUCUUUGGCCACACACAGACACGUACACACAUGCACACACACUUUGGCGUUGUGUGAUCUAUAUGGAAUAUUGGAAUAUAUGGAGUUGGGAUCGCGCACGAG